RNAcentral lists this ribosomal RNA (704 nucleotides) under Bacillus aerophilus. RNAcentral's name for it is "bacterial SSU rRNA". It matches the Rfam family "Bacterial small subunit ribosomal RNA", at positions 54 to 742 of the family's 1533-position model. Lineage: Bacteria; Bacillati; Bacillota; Bacilli; Caryophanales; Bacillaceae. The record is from RNAcentral.
AAUGCAGUCGAGCGGACAGAAGGGAGCUUGCUCCCGGAUGUUAGCGGCGGACGGGUGAGUAACACGUGGGUAACCUGCCUGUAAGACUGGGAUAACUCCGGGAAACCGGAGCUAAUACCGGAUAGUUCCUUGAACCGCAUGGUUCAAGGAUGAAAGACGGUUUCGGCUGUCACUUACAGAUGGACCCGCGGCGCAUUAGCUAGUUGGUGAGGUAACGGCUCACCAAGGCGACGAUGCGUAGCCGACCUGAGAGGGUGAUCGGCCACACUGGGACUGAGACACGGCCCAGACUCCUACGGGAGGCAGCAGUAGGGAAUCUUCCGCAAUGGACGAAAGUCUGACGGAGCAACGCCGCGUGAGUGAUGAAGGUUUUCGGAUCGUAAAGCUCUGUUGUUAGGGAAGAACAAGUGCAAGAGUAACUGCUUGCACCUUGACGGUACCUAACCAGAAAGCCACGGCUAACUACGUGCCAGCAGCCGCGGUAAUACGUAGGUGGCAAGCGUUGUCCGGAAUUAUUGGGCGUAAAGGGCUCGCAGGCGGUUUCUUAAGUCUGAUGUGAAAGCCCCCGGCUCAACCGGGGAGGGUCAUUGGAAACUGGGAAACUUGAGUGCAGAAGAGGAGAGUGGAAUUCCACGUGUAGCGGUGAAAUGCGUAGAGAUGUGGAGGAACACCAGUGGCGAAGGCGACUCUCUGGUCUGUAACUG